Molecule: ribosomal RNA, 274 nt
Filed under: uncultured Acidimicrobiales bacterium
Lineage: Bacteria; Bacillati; Actinomycetota; Acidimicrobiia; Acidimicrobiales
Description: partial 16S ribosomal RNA
Rfam family: Bacterial small subunit ribosomal RNA
Source: RNAcentral
UACGUAGGUGGCGAGCGUUGUCCGGAAUUAUUGGGCGUAAAGAGCUCGUAGGCGGCUUGGCAAGUCGGGUGUGAAAUCUCCAGGCUCAACCUGGAGUCGCCACUCGAUACUGCCAUGGCUAGAGUCCGGUAGGGGACCAUGGAAUUCCUGGUGUAGCGGUGAAAUGCGCAGAUAUCAGGAGGAACACCAGUGGCGAAGGCGGUGGUCUGGGCCGGAACUGACGCUGAGGAGCGAAAGCGUGGGGAGCGAACAGGAUUAGAUACCCCGGUAGUCC